RNAcentral lists this ribosomal RNA (375 nucleotides) under uncultured bacterium. RNAcentral describes it as "bacterial SSU rRNA". It matches the Rfam family "Bacterial small subunit ribosomal RNA", at positions 521 to 896 of the family's 1533-position model. The record is from RNAcentral.
UAAUACGAAGGGAGCAAGCGUUGCUCGGAUUUAUUGGGCGUAAAGGGUGUGUAGGCGGUUUUAUAAGUUAGAUGUGAAAGCCCAGGGCUUAACCCUGGAAUUGCAUUUAAGACUGUAUUACUUGAAGUUCGAAGAGGUUAGCAGAAUUCCCAGUGUAGAGGUGAAAUUCGUAGAUAUUGGGAAGAAUACCAAUGGCGUAGGCAGCUAACUGGUCGACACUUGACGCUGAGGCACGAAAGCGUGGGUAGCAAACAGGAUUAGAUACCCUGGUAGUCCACGCCCUAAACGAUGUGUACUCGCUAUCGGAUAGUUUACUAUUCGGUGGCUAAGCUAACGCGAUAAGUACACCGCCUGGGGAUUACGAUCGCAAGAUUA